This 87-nucleotide ribosomal RNA is filed under the name Shewanella algae. The record is from RNAcentral. Lineage: Bacteria; Pseudomonadati; Pseudomonadota; Gammaproteobacteria; Alteromonadales; Shewanellaceae.
UCUGGUGACAAUAGCAUUGUGGUCCCACCUGAUCCCAUCCCGAACUCAGAAGUGAAACGCAAUCGCGCCGAUGGUAGUGUGGGGUCU